RNAcentral lists this unclassified non-coding RNA (207 nucleotides) under uncultured fungus. RNAcentral describes it as "sequence contains ITS1". The record is from RNAcentral. Lineage: Eukaryota; Fungi.
UUUUUUGUUAUGAUUUUUGUUACAUUCUUCAACUCAUGUUUAUGAAUGAAAAGACGAGGAGCCGCCGAAGCUUUUCCAAGUCUUUAUAAAUAGUGCACAGGGUAGAAAGUGGAGGUCAGGCCUCUCUACGACCUCUCCAGUUAAGGAAGAGGCGAGAGAGCACCCUAAAAUUCACUAAUGAUCCUUCCGCAGGUUCACCUACGGAAA